This is a long non-coding RNA of Chenopodium quinoa (quinoa), 1344 nucleotides long. RefSeq lists it as uncharacterized. NCBI's taxonomy places the organism in Eukaryota, Viridiplantae, Streptophyta, Magnoliopsida, Caryophyllales, Amaranthaceae. The record is from RefSeq and is a predicted model, not a curated record. The transcript has 3 exons.
GUAGUUCAGACGUAGGUAAAAAAAACAGAAGAAAUAAUUUAUACUCUGUAAGUAAGAAAAAACAUACUACUUGCAUUUAAUUGUGCAUCUUCAUACUUUCAACUUUUAAUAAUUUUUUAGCUAUUGAUACUUUGAGAAUAUUUUAUUCCAUACUCUUUUCGUAUAUUUUAUUACUUCAUACGCGAAGUUGAGGAAUAAUAGAAAGUAAUAAACAUAAAAAGGGAAAUAAUUUUUUAGCUAUUGAUACUCUGAGAAUAUUUAUUUUAGUUGAGGAAUAAUAAAAAGAAAAUGAAACAAAUAAUAAAAUACGCCCGGAAAAAAAAAAGAAAAAAAAAAGUAAUAAAAUAUGAAGAGAGUAAUAGUCAAAAUGACGUAUAAUUGUACGUCUGUAUCGAGUUUUACGUGUCAAUUAUUCGAGAUGGGAGGUAUCAUAUGGACUACGGAGUAGCUAAGUUGGGUGGGCGGAAGCCAUGUUGCCACGUUUGUGAGGUUUCGAAGCAUAUAGCGGACAUUCUCAUAUUCAUUCAUAGCAACGAAUUGGAAUCAUCUUGUGCAUCUUCCAUGGCAGCUAACUUCCUCAAUCCACCAAACCCUCUCUAUUAAUGCAUGAAAGGGAUAGUGUUGUUACUAUAUCAAGUGAUGACAGGGGAAUUAACAAUGUCCUCUCCUCCGAGUUUGUUGCCCUCCAGAAUAUCAUAUUGGGGGACCAGGAAUUUGGUUUAGCCAAAUCUUCAGUUAUUUGCCUAAUUGAUUGGCCAAAUAGCCCAACACAGGCUUGAAGAAUUUUCAAAGCAAGGAUGUUAACCUUUUCAGGUUUUACCUGUUGCAAAUCAUCCCCAGCUCUUUCCGGUAGAGUCGUUGUACUGGAUUGCACUAGCCAAAGGCAACGUGGGACGCAAACAAUAUGUAGUGGCUUGUGACUCGCUGAUUGCUUGCAGUUACAGGCUUGCAGCGACACAACCUAUACGGAGAGAGUGGCUUAUGCUUGCAGCUCUAAGUAUUGUGAUGGCAUUUGUAAAUUUCAAUUUUGCAUAGCAAAGGGAAAUUUACCAAUGUCCUAAUAUUUUACCAUGAUGAAUUCAUGAUGAUAUCGCAUCACCAUCAAUAUAAUGCAGUUAGCACUAUGGACAAUGUUGUACGAGAGUGGGGUAUUCCUUAGCUUAUAACUUAUGUGGUUGAUGCACUCAUGCAUAUGAACCAUUAAUGUGCUGCAAACGCAAGAGAUAUUUAUAAUUUGUUGAAAUUUUGCUACCGUGAAUAACAUUUUAACAUGUAAAUGAUUGUCCUUUGAAUAGGGAUAAUUAUUGUUGGUCCAUUUUUAUCUAAUUUUCUUACUUUUAACAA